CGUUUCCCUCUUAAACUGUUGAUAUUGUUAGCAUUGUUCGUUUCUCAGUGUGUGUCCAUCUGCCUUGUCUGUAAAAUGGGCAUAAUAAGAGCUCACCUUUCAGAAAGCAGUGGGUAGGGCUAGAUGGUAUAAUUAUGUUCCCUUUCAUCAGUUUUCCCUAUCUCUACUAAGCACCAGGUGCUAUUGGAAAAAUUAAUAGCCUAAGAUUGUUUUGGAGUAAGAAGAAUGUAAAUUAAUUAAUCCUAUAAACAUGCAUGCUAUAGCAUUGUAUGGUUUGUCCUUCCAGGAAAAAGCUAAAACCUCACCUAUAUUGUUAAUAUAUAUAUAUUUUUUACAUUAUUUAAAUGAGUGAAUUUUUGCUUCCUUUGUUGGUUUUGCAUAAAGAUAUUCAUAUUAGCAUAAUGUAGAUAAAUCUCAUGAGUUAAUUAUUCACUAAAUCAAAUUUAAAAUUAGUUUCCAUUUCUAAGUCAAAGGUUGAGUUGUUCCACAU
RNAcentral lists this long non-coding RNA (490 nucleotides) under Homo sapiens (human). Its description in RNAcentral is "non-protein coding lnc-ENPP1-6:2". Lineage: Eukaryota; Metazoa; Chordata; Mammalia; Primates; Hominidae. The record is from RNAcentral.